Molecule: long non-coding RNA, 348 nt
Filed under: Androctonus crassicauda
Lineage: Eukaryota; Metazoa; Arthropoda; Arachnida; Scorpiones; Buthidae
Source: RNAcentral
GUAUCUAGUAACUGUUGGUGAAUCUCUGUUUCCUUUUGAAGAGCAAAAUCUUUUAUUAUUAUGUUAAAGAAAAACCUUUCAUUUUCAUAAUUGGUUCAUGGUCUGGACAAACGAUGUUUCAUUGUAUAACGAAAUCUUUGUCAACAAAAAUGAAGUUCCUACAUGCACUAUUCACAUUAUACCUCCAAAAUGCACUCCUCUCUGUCAACCGUGUGAUGUCUAUUUUUACAGACAAAUAAAAAAUUUUAUAAGAUGCUUGCAAAAUUCUGCAUCUUUAUUAGAUCAUAGCUAUUUAACUUCUAGGAAGAUGCAAUCAAACUGCAUGCUUUCUCAUCAGCUUCCAGCCCA